GAUGAACGCUGGCGGCGUGCUUAACACAUGCAAGUCGAACGGAAAGGCCUCUGCUUGCUGGGGUACUCGAGUGGCGAACGGGUGAGUAACACGUGGGUGAUCUGCCCUGCACUUCGGGAUAAGCCUGGGAAACUGGGUCUAAUACCGGAUAGGACAAUGGUUUGGAUGCUGUUGUGGAAAGUUUUUCGGUGUGGGAUGAGCUCGCGGCCUUUCAGCUUGUUGGUGGGGUAAUGGCCUACCACGGCGUCGAGGGGUAGACGGCCUGAGAGGGUGUGCGGCCACAUUGUGGCUGUGAUACGGGGCAGAGUCCUAUGGGGGGGAGCGGAGGGGGAUAUAGUGCAAUAGGGGCGAGACUGAUGCAGAGACGCCGCGUGGGGGAUGACGGCCUUCGGGUUGUAAAAUCCUUUCGCUAGGGACGAGGCGUUUUUGUGACGGUACCUGGAGAAGAAGCACCGGCUAACUACGUG
This 467-nucleotide ribosomal RNA is filed under the name uncultured bacterium. RNAcentral's name for it is "partial 16S ribosomal RNA". It matches the Rfam family "Bacterial small subunit ribosomal RNA", at positions 28 to 507 of the family's 1533-position model. The record is from RNAcentral.